Molecule: long non-coding RNA, 400 nt
Filed under: Salvia miltiorrhiza (redroot sage)
Lineage: Eukaryota; Viridiplantae; Streptophyta; Magnoliopsida; Lamiales; Lamiaceae
Description: long non-coding RNA (SMIL_LNC009669)
Source: RNAcentral
UUGUCACAGCCCACUAUCCCAAUGACGGGUUAACAGGGGUUAUGACUUGGGGUGAACAAUAAGAAAUGGAAAUGGACAAUUACUUAACAUUAAAGUAUAUGGAAAUGUCACUCAUAGAUAAAAUGCUAGGAUUAUAUAUGAUUAUUUGGAUACUUAUAAAACAUACACAUAAAUGGGAACUGAUUAAGGUGGGUUACCCAAUAACACGUGUCACAAUUUCAUAACAUAAAGUUAUCCUAAUCAAAGUGUUUUGCAGCGGAAAACGUGUGAGAUAUACAUAUGAAGAUGUAUACUCAAGGUUACAUUUCUUGAAAUGUCAAAGGAACACCCGCUCAACAUCAUUCCAUUCCAUCAACUGCUCAACCUGCACAUUUAGAAAUACAUGCAGGGCUGAGUAUAA